AUAGAGAGAAAAUAUCAUGACGUGAUCACAUCCUCCAGUUCUGAUGACUUUUCCAUCUACUCCUUCACUGACUGUGAAUCUGAGUGUGAUGAUGAGGAUCAUGAAAGGAGGAGACCAAAGCUGAAAGUUGAGAAUGGAAAGGUGACAAAGCUUGAUGUGAGGGAUAUGGACGAGGAUGAUGAUCUGUCUCUCCACUCCUUCGAUGAGUCAGACUUCCUGAGCCCAGGGGAGGUCUCAGGUCCUGUAUCUGUCAAGAAUGGCCUCUCUCCUCUUGUAACCUCAGCACACCGGACACUUGCUGAAGCCCUACAGGCCCUGCCCUCUGCUGUAGGCUCUCCCUACCCAGUAAAUGUUCCAAGGCCUCGGACUCCUCUCAACCCUGUCAUUAUCGCUCCGCCCCAAACAGAGAACUUCCCAUACCGCCACAGCCCUCGCCUGGCUCCCAUCACCAAUGUGAGCGAGUC
Long non-coding RNA from Oncorhynchus masou masou (cherry salmon), 464 nucleotides. RefSeq lists it as uncharacterized. The record is from RefSeq and is a predicted model, not a curated record. Lineage: Eukaryota; Metazoa; Chordata; Actinopteri; Salmoniformes; Salmonidae. The transcript is spliced from 3 exons.